RNAcentral lists this long non-coding RNA (1118 nucleotides) under Anas platyrhynchos platyrhynchos (common mallard). Its description in RNAcentral is "lncRNA (ENSAPLG00000018453.1)". The record is from RNAcentral. Lineage: Eukaryota; Metazoa; Chordata; Aves; Anseriformes; Anatidae.
UGGCAGUGUUACUGAGAGUGACAUUUUGCACAAUGUGUGUACAACGAGAGCUGAGCUCAAAGCAGGGCUGUGAGCACUGCAGGGCUCGUUGCUCUCAGCAGCAGGCCCUGCGUGGGAUCUGUUGAGAGCAGUGCUGAGGACAAAGGUGUCUGCCUGGGAGAUCAGUGCCACGCCGAGCAAUGCUCCAGAGCACACAGAGUGGGACAGCAGCGUCUCCUUUCUCUGCAGUCAUUAAUGUUUGAUCUCCUUAAAUGUAAAGGAGCACAAGUGCCUCUGGACAGGAGGGCGGUGGGGAGCAGAGCACAAGGACUGCCGUCAGUGCCUCCGAUGGCCUGGGAGCUGGGGGCUGAUGGGCAGCAUCUGUGUGAGGCUCUUACAGCUGGUAUGGCUGGGGAAUAAUUCACAGCAGGUGAGGCAGGGAGGCAACAGCAAUUUGAUUUAUAAUUUCUUUUAUAUUUUUAGGAGAUAAUUUCUGGAUGCCAUAGGGAAUGUUAGUUUGCUAGUCUGGGUUGCAGAAUUGAGUUAAUAUCCUCAAUUAAUAGAUUUAAUUUGAAGCUUUAAUAUUCUAAGAUAAUUGGGUACCUCUUGGUGCAAAUGAGCAAAACUACACUUAAAUGGUUAUGGAACACAUUGAUUUGAAAAUCUUUUGGGCUAUGUUAAAGGCUUUUAUUUUCAUAAUUCCCACCACCCACAGAAAUGUUAGGCUUGGACUGGACUUGCAAAACUGCCCAACGCUGACCUUUAAUGUCCUGUCAUUUUCAGUAGGAGUCUGCCAUUCCUUCAAGAAAGAGGCGUACUUGCCAAAACACCCAGAUGCCGCCUGACUUCUUUCUAGGAGACAAAAUAGGAGAGUUCCUUGUCUGUGCUGUGCUCCGAACUUGGCCAUGAGCAUGCAGAGAACAGGUGGGACUGUGCCCUUGCAUGGACUGGGCGGCUGGCGGGCCAGUAUGGGAGCAGACCGAAUUAACACAGAGGACAUGAGUGGCACAUCCCAGAGCCCUGGUGGAGUCACCCUGAGCCGGUCGUGCUGCCGUCCCUGCCGCCGCCUCCCGCACGUGCUAUUCAAUGAGAAACAAACUUGCCAGCAGGGCGGUUCUCUAAGGAUGAACAUUUGCUGA